Molecule: long non-coding RNA, 1016 nt
Organism: Oncorhynchus tshawytscha (Chinook salmon)
Lineage: Eukaryota; Metazoa; Chordata; Actinopteri; Salmoniformes; Salmonidae
Source: Ensembl
GGAGAAAAGACACAUCAGAGGGACAGAAGGAGAAGACAGGAGAAAAUACACAUCAGAGGGACAGGAGGAGAAGACAGGAGAAAAGACACAUCAGAGGGACAGGAGGAGAAAGGAGAAAAGACACAUCAGAGGGACAGAAGGAGAAGACAGGAGGAAAGACACAUCAGAGGGACAGGAGGAGAAGACAGGAGAAAAGACACAUCAGAGGGACAGGAGGAGAAGACAGGAGAAAAGACACAUCAGAGGGGGACAGGAAGAAAAGACACAUCAGAGGGACAGGAGGAGAAGACAGGAGAAAAGACACAUCAGAGGGACAGAAGGAGAAGACAGGAGAAAUGACACAUCAGAGGGGGACAGGAGGAGAAGACAGGAGAAAAGACACAUCAGAGGGACAGGAGGAGAAGACAGGAGGAAAGACACAUCAGAGGGACAGGAGGAGAAGACAGGAGAAAAGACACAUCAGAGGGACAGAAGGAGAAGACAGGAGAAAAGACACAUCAGAGGGACAGAAGGAGAAGACAGGAGGUAAGACACAUCAGAGGGACAGGAGGAGAAGACAGGAGAAAAGACACAUCAGAAGGACAGAAGGAGAAGACAGGAGGAAAGACACAUCAGAGGGACAGAAGGAGAAGACAGGAGAAAAGACACAUCAGAGGGACAGAAGGAGAAGACAGGAGAAAAUACACAUCAGAGGGACAGGAGGAGAAGACAGGAGAAAAGACACAUCAGAGGGACAGAAGGAGAAGACAGGAGAAAAGACACAUCAGAGGAAGACAGGAGGAGAAGACAGGAGCCAAGACACAUCAGAGGGACAGAAGGAGAAGACAGGAGGAAAGACACAUCAGAGGAAGACAGGAGGAGAAGACAGGAGAAAAGACACAUCAGAGGGACAGAAGGAGAAGACAGGAGGAAAGACACAUCAGAGGGACAGAAGGAGAAGACAGGAGAAAAGACACAUCAGAGGAAGACAGGAGGAGAAGACAGGAGAAAAGACACAUCAGAGGGGGACAGGAGGA